RNAcentral lists this unclassified non-coding RNA (290 nucleotides) under uncultured Umbelopsis. RNAcentral describes it as "sequence contains ITS2". Lineage: Eukaryota; Fungi; Mucoromycota; Umbelopsidomycetes; Umbelopsidales; Umbelopsidaceae. The record is from RNAcentral.
AACGCACAUUGCACUCCUUGGUAUUCCGAGGAGUAUGCCUGUUUCAGUAUCAUGAGCACUCUCACACCUAACCUUUGGGUUUUGUUGUGGAAUUGGGAUGCGCCGAUUUUAAUAGUCGGCACUCCUAAAAUGUAGCUCAUGACUGUUUCCUACUACAGCAGUUUGGCCUAAUAGUUUUGACUUUUGUCAAAUCUUUGGCUACAUUUGCUUCUGGAAGUCAGUCUUGAUAAUACAGAAAACUCAUUUCAAACUUUGAUCUGAAAUCAGGUAGGGCUACCCGCUGAACUUAA